This 253-nucleotide ribosomal RNA is filed under the name uncultured bacterium. Its description in RNAcentral is "partial 16S ribosomal RNA". It matches the Rfam family "Bacterial small subunit ribosomal RNA", at positions 524 to 776 of the family's 1533-position model. The record is from RNAcentral.
UACGAAGGGGGCUAGCGUUGCUCGGAAUCACUGGGCGUAAAGCGCACGUAGGCGGACUCUUAAGUCGGUGGUGAAAUCCUGGAGCUCAACUCCAGAACUGCCUUCGAUACUGAGAGUCUUGAGUAUGGGAGAGGUGAGUGGAACUGCGAGUGUAGAGGUGAAAUUCGUAGAUAUUCGCAAGAACACCAGUGGCGAAGGCGGCUCACUGGCCCAUUACUGACGCUGAGGCACGAAAGCGUGGGGAGCAAACAGG